GUCCAAGGCAAAGCCUUGGGCAGCCGGCUGAGGAGUCAGAUCUGUUCGCGGUAGGCAUCCAGCAGGCGGAGGCUUGCGUGUCGAGACCCCACCAGGUGAGGCUGGUGGCCUAGAGGGUGAACUUUCUCAUCUUGGUCUUCACACUCUCCAUGGUCCCAUCCAGCUUCUAAGGGUGAAGCCUCCUUUAUGUAUCCCUCCCUCCGCUCUCCUCAGAAAGAAGAAGCAACCCAGGUUUCCUGGCUCAGGAGAGUGCCUUUGCGAAAAAACCCUGGGUCUCUUGUUUCAGCUCAGUGUUUUAACAGAGCCAAAGAGUCAGUUUGUCAUGAAAAAGCAUUGGACUAGGAGUCAAGAGUAACUCUUCACUAGCUUGGUAUUGUGCAAGUCAUCCUACCUCUCUGGAUCUUAGUUGCUUCAUCUGUAAAAAAGAAGAUAAAAAUUCUUUACCUGCCUGAAGAACCAUUCAGCCCAAAUAAGCAAAAUAAUAAAGAGCCUUAUUGGCUGGGUAUGGCAGUGCUUGCCUGUAAUCCCAGUGUGCAGAAGGCCAAGGCCAGAGGAGCACCGUGAUUUCAAGACCAGCCUGGGCUACAUCAUGAGUUCAAGGCCAGCCUGAGCUACAUAGAGAGACCC
RNAcentral lists this long non-coding RNA (627 nucleotides) under Heterocephalus glaber (naked mole-rat). RNAcentral's name for it is "lncRNA (ENSHGLG00100034412.1)". Lineage: Eukaryota; Metazoa; Chordata; Mammalia; Rodentia; Bathyergidae. The record is from RNAcentral.